CCGGCCUGGGCUGAUGUGGAUUCCUCUGCACACAGCUCGGGGAAGGUCCCCCUGGCCACCUGCACAGUGCCACAGACAAGUGUCAGACACAGUUACAGAGCUCUGCCCAGAGCUGACAGGGAAAGUUCAUUACCAAAAAAAAAAAAAAAUUUCCCAACAAAAAAACCCCAAAAAUCAUACUAAAAAAACCAAACAAAACCAUAUAAAAAGGGUUUUGAACCACCCUAAAUAAAUCACUAAAUCACCCCAACAAAAUAAAACAAAGAAAAGCAAAAAAACAAAAAACAAACUAAUAACAAAACAAUCCCCAAAACAAGAAAAAUAGAACUCCCACCCAGAAGAGCUGUUCCAUCAAUCAUUUUUCAUACCUGCAUGCACACAAGACCCAGAGCUGGAAAAAAAUCAGGGUUCAUUGAAACACAUUUGCAGGAAAAGCAGUUUUAGGAGAGGCUUUUAGCAGAACUGUUCUCAGCUCAGCCAAAAAGGCCCCUUUGGCAGCUGCAGGGCCAUUGGAAAUACAGAGCCUCAGCCCACAGAGCACAAAAGGGCUCUGAGUUCCCCUCCCCUGGCACUAAACCCUGUUGCCAGGCUGCUUCACACACAGGAUUCUUCUGGAGGAUUGCACAAAACCGAGAUCGGGCUCUGGCUUCUCCACGUUGUGUCUCAUAAAGCUGCCUGGGAGAAGAAAUUUCGUGUCAGCUCGGCUGGCACAAUCCCUCCUGGCACAGGCACAGCGCCAGGAAGGGCUUUGGUGCUAAGGCUUUGCUGCAGCCGCUGUUUUCUCUGCCUCCCGCUCUCUGCCACUGUCUGUCCUUCGAGCUCCUGGCUUCCGCGCUCUGCCGGAUCCCGUGCCCCGCUGCCUCCCCCUCCGCAGCCGGCACCCCUCUCCGCCCGGGAAAGGAGGUCACCCCGCCGGGCAUCGGCCGCCUGGCUCCUGCCCGCGCCGCCGGCACCGCUGAGCCUCCCGUGCGGCCGCGGCUCCUGGCGAGAGGGGAUCGCUCACACGAGCACCGCUGCUGCCAGCGCCGUGAGGACAGAGACUGUCACCGCCGUGAGGAGAGAGAGUGUCACUGACACCGAGAGAGAGACUGUCCCCGCCGUGAGGAGAGAGACUGUCCCCGCCGUGAGGAUAGAGACUGUCCCCGCCGCCAGGACAGAGACUGUCCCCGCCGUGAGGAUAGAGACUGUCCCCGCCGCCAGGACAGAGACUGUCCCCGCCGCGCUGCCGCUGCCUGCGAGUGCUGCGCCAUCUGACUCACGCCGGCGCUGCUGCCACCACGGGAAAGAACAGCUCCUGUGCCACGCUGCCGAUUCCAAGCAGCGCCAUCCUCGCGCGGGAGAGAAAUAAAGCAGCUCGGAAAAGCCAGCACAGGGUCCUUGCUUAUUUCCUUUAUCACGAUUCUUAUACGUUGAGCCCCCAUUUCGAGAGGCCGAACCGUGACCCUGCCGGCCGGUGGCAGAGGUCGGGCACGGCCACUCCUGGUGCCUGCCCCGAUCGCCUCCAGCCAUUGGGGCACACUGGUGCACGGGUCAGCUUGGCGCCCAGCCGUGGGAGCACAGACCCCUGGGAAGGACUGUCUCCAGGUUGCACGGACGCCCCGCCAAGUGAAGUUUGUGGUCCAUCAAGCACCGCCGGUGAAUUCGUACACUUUCUGGUUAUUGCAGCUCCCAGCGGGCCGGAAAGUCAACCCCUUUCGUCCAGAUGUGAGAGGAGCUUUCCCCUGGAUCAAGGACUACCUCCGAGAUUUUAGUUUCCAGGAAUCUUCAGUUUCGUAUUCCAGUGGCUGGGACAGACCCGACUGGGGUACCCUGAAGUUGGGUGGGGGUGACUCCUGGGGAUUGGGGGAGGUGUAGUACGCAAUGUUCAAACCAUGCCCCCCCCCCCCCCCCCACCCCGGUGAUUAUUGGGUGUUUUUCCUUUAGUUUUUGUUUUACCUUGGAGGUGGGUGGAAAAGAACCUAGUUAAUAGUCUUGGUCUGAGUAUUCUAGUGGCUGGGAUGGACUCGACUAGGGUACAAUGGCGUACAGCGAGACUGUCUGCCAGGGAGAAGGAAGUUUAUAACCAAGUUGUGGAUUCAUUGGUGGGGGAGGGUUUUUUUUAUGUAAGGGAAAAGUGAAGAGAUUUGUUAAGUGUAUUUUCUUUCAUUUUCCAACUACUACCCCUAAAUGAAGUAAAAACACUAAGAUUUUGGGAUAAGAUUGGAAUUAAACUUGGAGAAGAUGCAAUGAUAGAUGGUGAAUCAAAAAGUAAUUUUCAUCCUCUCUUUAUAAAAUUGAAAACUAUCACAUUAGUAAUGGAAAAGAAAGUCUCAGAAUGGAUGUUAUAAAUGAGAAGCUUGACUAGGCCAAUAUUUAAGCAGCAAUCAAUUUAUUAAUUAAUAUGGUAAAGUAUGAACAAUACAGUGCUGGGUACAGUGGGGGAAAUUUUCCCUCCAACUGCACGACAAUAGUUGGGGCUUACAUAUAUUUAUAGGGGUACUCAUAAGCUUUCUCAGCAAUUUCUAUUCACAAUUUUUACUCAUCAGCAAUUUCUAUCCCCAAUUUUUACGUCACAAUUCUACACACUAUUGAGAUUCAGUUUUUCUCAGGAUGUAUCCCAGAAAGGAGUAUCCCCAAAUGGUGGGGUCUAGCUUCCGAAAGAAGUCUCCCAGCUGGUGAGGUCCAGAUUCCAGAUGAGGGCUCAACUUUUAAUUGCAAGGACUAUAAAUCUCAUACCCAUGAUGUCCAGCUUCCCUUGGUCGAAACUAGUAAUCCUUGAGCUGAUAUUCAUCUUCCUAUCUCAAGCUACUUUUCAAUGUUUUGUUAAGGUGU
Molecule: long non-coding RNA, 2811 nt
Organism: Passer domesticus (house sparrow)
Lineage: Eukaryota; Metazoa; Chordata; Aves; Passeriformes; Passeridae
Exons: 2
Source: RefSeq, a predicted model, not a curated record